GAUGAACGCUGGCGGUAUGCUUAACACAUGCAAGACGAACGGACUCUUCGGAGUUAGUGGCGGACGGGUGAGUAACGCGUGAGAAUCUGGCUUUGGGUUCGGGACAACCACUGGAAACGGUGGCUAAUACCGGAUGUGCCGAGAGGUAAAAGAGAAAUUGCCUGCAGAUGAGCCCGCGUCUGAUUAGCUAGUUGGUGAGGUAAAGGCUCACCAAGGCCGAUCAGUAGCUGGUCUGUGAGGAUGACCAGCCACACUGGGACUGAGACACGGCCCAGACUCCUACGGGAGGCAGCAGUGGGGAAUUUUCCGCAAUGGGCGAAAGCCUGACGGAGCAAUACCGCGUGAGGGAAGAAGGCUCUUGGGUUGUAAACCUCUUUUCUUAGGGAAGAACAAAAUGACGGUACCUAAGGAAUCAGCAUCGGCUAACUCCGUG
RNAcentral lists this ribosomal RNA (433 nucleotides) under uncultured bacterium. Its description in RNAcentral is "partial 16S ribosomal RNA". It matches the Rfam family "Bacterial small subunit ribosomal RNA", at positions 28 to 507 of the family's 1533-position model. The record is from RNAcentral.